Mycena leptocephala is the source of this 92-nucleotide non-coding RNA. Lineage: Eukaryota; Fungi; Basidiomycota; Agaricomycetes; Agaricales; Mycenaceae. The record is from the annotation of a GenBank genome assembly.
GCGGACGUGGUGCAUGGCGCACCGCUGCCUUGAUUGAGGUAGUAAGAUGUAAAGUGUAAGCAGCUGCCGGGGUUCGACUCCCUGCGUCCGCA